RNAcentral lists this ribosomal RNA (587 nucleotides) under uncultured bacterium. Its description in RNAcentral is "partial 16S ribosomal RNA". It matches the Rfam family "Bacterial small subunit ribosomal RNA", at positions 355 to 1375 of the family's 1533-position model. The record is from RNAcentral.
UGGGGAAUAUUGGACAAUGGGCGCAAGCCUGAUCCAGCCAUGCCGCGUGAGUGAAGAAGGCCUUCGGGUUGUAAAGCUCUUUUGUUGGGGAAGAAAAGCUUCUGGUUAAUGCCCGGGAGUCCUGACGGUACCCAAAGAAUAAGCACCGGCUAACUUCGUGCCAGCAGCCGCGGUAAUACGAAGGGUGCAAGCGUUACUCGGAAUUACUGGGCGUAAAGCGUGCGUAGGUGGUUCGUUAAGUCUGAUGUGAAAGCCCUGGGCUCAACCUGGGAACUGCAUUGGAUACUGGCGAUCUGGAGUGCGGUAGAGGGUGGCGGAAUUCCCGGUGUAGCAGUGAAAUGCGUAGAUAUCGGGAGGAACAUCCGUGGCGAAGGCGGCCACCUGGACCAGCACUGACACUGAGGCACGAAAGCGUGGGGAGCAAACAGGAUUAGAUACCCUGGUAGUCCACGCCCUAAACGAUGCGAACUGGAUGUUGGGUGCAACUUGGCACUCAGUAUCGAAGCUAACGCGUUAAGUUCGCCGCCUGGGAAGUACGGUCGCAAGACUGAAACUCAAAUGAAUUGACGGGGUCAUAGCUGUUUCCU